This 198-nucleotide ribosomal RNA is filed under the name uncultured bacterium. RNAcentral's name for it is "partial 16S ribosomal RNA". It matches the Rfam family "Bacterial small subunit ribosomal RNA", at positions 1302 to 1500 of the family's 1533-position model. The record is from RNAcentral.
AGUCUGCAACUCGACUACAUGAAGCUGGAAUCGCUAGUAAUCGCGAAUCAGAAUGUCGCGGUGAAUACGUUCCCGGGUCUUGUACACACCGCCCGUCACACCAUGGGAGUCGGAAAUGCCCGAAGUCUGUGACCUAACCGUAAGGAAGGAGCAGCCGAAGGCAGGUCGGAUGACUGGGUGAAGUCGUAACAAGGUAUC